GCAUACGGCCACACCACCCUGAAAGUGCCUGAUCUCAGAAGCGAUACAGGGUUGGGCCUGGUUAGUACCUGGAUGGGAGACUGCCUGGGAAUACCAGGUGUCGUAGGCU
RNAcentral lists this ribosomal RNA (109 nucleotides) under Xenopus laevis (African clawed frog). The record is from RNAcentral. Lineage: Eukaryota; Metazoa; Chordata; Amphibia; Anura; Pipidae.